This 413-nucleotide ribosomal RNA is filed under the name uncultured bacterium. Its description in RNAcentral is "bacterial SSU rRNA". It matches the Rfam family "Bacterial small subunit ribosomal RNA", at positions 954 to 1372 of the family's 1533-position model. The record is from RNAcentral.
AUGGGAACGCGAAGAACCUUACCUGGCCUUGACAUGUCUGGAAUCCUGUAGAGAUACGGGAGUGCCUUCGGGAAUCAGAACACAGGUGCUGCAUGGCUGUCGUCAGCUCGUGUCGUGAGAUGUUGGGUUAAGUCCCGCAACGAGCGCAACCCUUGUCAUUAGUUGCUACGAAAGGGCACUCUAAUGAGACUGCCGGUGACAAACCGGAGGAAGGUGGGGAUGACGUCAAGUCCUCAUGGCCCUUAUGGGUAGGGCUUCACACGUCAUACAAUGGUCGGUACAGAGGGUUGCCAAGCCGCGAGGUGGAGCCAAUCCCAGAAAGCCGAUCGUAGUCCGGAUUGCAGGCUGCAACUCGCCUGCAUGAAGUCGGAAUCGCUAGUAAUCGCGGAUCAGCAUGUCGCGGUGAAUACGUU